Molecule: ribosomal RNA, 253 nt
Filed under: uncultured bacterium
Lineage: Bacteria
Description: partial 16S ribosomal RNA
Rfam family: Bacterial small subunit ribosomal RNA
Source: RNAcentral
UACAGAGACUGCAAGCGUUAUUCGGAUUCACUGGGCGUAAAGGGUGCGCAGGCGACCAAGUGUGUCAGGUGUGAAAUCCCGAGGCUUAACCUCGGAACCGCGCCUGAAACUACUUGGCUAGAGUACUGGAGAGGGUAACGGAAUUCACGGUGUAGCAGUGAAAUGCGUAGAUAUCGUGAGGAACACCAGAGGCGAAAGCGGUUACCUGGACAGUUACUGACGCUCAGGCACGAAAGCGUGGGGAGCAAAAGGG